GAGUAACGCGUGAGGAACCUGCCUCAAAGAGGGGGACAACAGUUGGAAACGACUGCUAAUACCGCAUAAGCCCACGGCUCGGCAUCGAGCAGAGGGAAAAGGAGCAAUCCGCUUUGAGAUGGCCUCGCGUCCGAUUAGCUAGUUGGUGAGGUAACGGCCCACCAAGGCGACGAUCGGUAGCCGGACUGAGAGGUUGAACGGCCACAUUGGGACUGAGACACGGCCCAGACUCCUACGGGAGGCAGCAGUGGGGAAUAUUGCACAACGGGGGAAACCCUGAUGCAGCGACGCCGCGUGGAGGAAGAAGGUCUUCGGAUUGUAAACUCCUGUUGUUGAGGAAGA
Molecule: ribosomal RNA, 342 nt
Filed under: uncultured bacterium
Lineage: Bacteria
Description: bacterial SSU rRNA
Rfam family: Bacterial small subunit ribosomal RNA
Source: RNAcentral